UACAGAGGGGGCAAGCGUUGUUCGGAAUUACUGAGCGUAAAGGGCGCGUAGGCGGCCUUCUAAGUCGAACGUGAAAUCCCCGGGCUCAACCCGGGAACUGCGUCCGAUACUGGUAGGCUUGAGACCGGAAGAGGACAGCGGAACUGCGAGUGUAGAGGUGAAAUUCGUAGAUAUUCGCAAGAACACCAGUGGCGAAGGCGGCUGUCUGGUCCGGUUCUGACGUUGAGGCGCGAAAGCGUGGGGAGCAAACAGG
RNAcentral lists this ribosomal RNA (253 nucleotides) under uncultured bacterium. RNAcentral describes it as "partial 16S ribosomal RNA". It matches the Rfam family "Bacterial small subunit ribosomal RNA", at positions 524 to 776 of the family's 1533-position model. The record is from RNAcentral.